AUGCCCGAGUUUUUACACCCAAGACACUGCCCACCGGGGCCCGCCCCGUCCGGAAGAGAGAGAGAGAGAGUGGGUGAGGGAAUAUGCCGCGGAGCCCCUGCCCAGUCCCCACCAUCCUUCCCCUUCCUUCUUCCGCAUCGGCGCCACCGAGCGGCGCACCACGUGCCGCCGGCGGCGGUUCGGCCUCACGGAGAGCGGCCGCCUGACGCGUCGAUGGCCGACGGCGGAGCGACAUCGAGCGCCGCCGCUGGAGGUCGCUUCGAGGGGCGGCGGCAUGGACCGGCCGCGGGCGGGGCGUGGGUGGGCCCUCCUCUCGAAGACGCGCUCGGCGCUGGGUCACCGGCCAGUUCGGCUACCCGGACGCUGAAGUGGGGUGAUCAGGAGGACGCGCUGCUGCGGCAGCGCCUCGUCUGCACCGGCCCGCGGCGCGGGCCGAUUCGUUCCCCGCCAACGUCGUCGAACGGCGUGCCUCGUGCCGCGGCCUUCUUCCGCGCGGCCGGAGGUUCGGCCCCACGGAGAUUGGCGGGCCACGUCGGCUGCAUUUGGCCGCGCGGGGCGACGGGGAGCGCGUCGAUGGCCGCGGUGGCGUGGUGUGCGGAGCGACGGCGAGCGCCGCCGCUGAGGCUUGCUUCGAGGGGGCAGCGGCAUGGACCGGCCGGCGAGCGUGGCGUACUGGGCGUGGCCCCUCCUCUCCGUACCAAGGCCUUGUCCCUGGCACGGAGGCUGCCGAAACGGAGUCGGCGGAGAUGCGGUGGGUGGUCCCUGGCGGCGCUUAUGAAGAGGAUGAUGUCGACAGCUCCGACGACGGUGACGGCGGCACAACCACCCCCACGGUUGCCCUCUGCUCCCGUGCCGGCGGAGGCGGCUACUCGGACGCUGAAGAGGAUGUGGAGGGCGCGCUGCUGCGCCAGCGCCUCGGCCGCGCCGGUUCGUUCGACGUCCAAGCUUCCCCGGACAUUGGGGGAUGUGAUAUCCAAAAACAAGAAAUUCAGGAGGCAGUUGAGCUACCAUUGA
This 1014-nucleotide ribosomal RNA is filed under the name Triticum aestivum (bread wheat). Its description in RNAcentral is "partial small subunit ribosomal RNA". The record is from RNAcentral. Lineage: Eukaryota; Viridiplantae; Streptophyta; Magnoliopsida; Poales; Poaceae.